UGAGGAGCUCAGUUGGUUAGAGCGUGGUGCUGACAACACCAAAGUUGCAGGUUUGAUCCCUGUAUGGGAAAAG
This 73-nucleotide transfer RNA is filed under the name Podarcis lilfordi (Lilford's wall lizard). Its description in RNAcentral is "tRNA.Val". The stretch from base 6 to 63 matches the Rfam family "tRNA", at positions 9 to 63 of the family's 71-position model. Rfam says of the family: Transfer RNA (tRNA) molecules are approximately 80 nucleotides in length. Their secondary structure includes four short double-helical elements and three loops (D, anti-codon, and T loops). Further hydrogen bonds mediate the characteristic L-shaped molecular structure. tRNAs have two regions of fundamental functional importance: the anti-codon, which is responsible for specific mRNA codon recognition, and the 3' end, to which the tRNAs corresponding amino acid is attached (by aminoacyl-tRNA synthetases). tRNAs cope with the degeneracy of the genetic code in two manners: having more than one tRNA (with a specific anti-codon) for a particular amino acid; and 'wobble' base-pairing, i.e. permitting non-standard base-pairing at the 3rd anti-codon position. Lineage: Eukaryota; Metazoa; Chordata; Lepidosauria; Squamata; Lacertidae. The record is from RNAcentral.